GGUGAACGCUGGCGGCAUGGAUAAGGCAUGCAAGUCGAAUGCAUUUAGGUGCAUGGCAGACGAGGUAGUAACACGUAGGAACGUACCCAGAAGUCGGGAAUAACCCGGAGAAAUCCGGAAUAAUACCCGAUGGUCUCGCAAGAGUAAAGAUUUAUCGCUUCUGGAGCGGCCUGCGUAGUAUCAGCUUGUUGGUAAGGUAAAAGCUUACCAAGGGCUAUGACGCUUAGGGGAGGUGAGAGCCUGACCCCCACCGAUGGAACUGAGACACGGUCCAU
RNAcentral lists this ribosomal RNA (275 nucleotides) under uncultured bacterium. RNAcentral's name for it is "partial 16S ribosomal RNA". It matches the Rfam family "Bacterial small subunit ribosomal RNA", at positions 28 to 334 of the family's 1533-position model. The record is from RNAcentral.